GACGAACGCUGGCGGCGUGCUUAACACAUGCAAGUCGAACGGAAAGGCCUGCUUUCCCUUGUGGAUUGCGGGUACUCGAGUGGCGAACGGGUGAGUAACACGUGAGUGAUCUGCCCCCAACUUGGGUAUAAGCCUGGGAAACUGGGUCUAAUUCCCGAUAGGACUGCAGGGUGGUGCCUGUGGUGGAAAACGAUUUUCUAGUGGUUGGGGAUGAGCUCGCGGCCUAUCAGCUUGUUGGUGGGGUAAUGGCCUACCAAGGCGGCGACGGGUAGCCGGCCUGAGAGGGUGGACGGCGACAUUGGGACUGAGAUACGGCCCAGACUCCUACGGGAGGCAGCAGUGGGGAAUAUUACACAAUGGGCGGAAGCCUGAUGCAGCGACGCCGCGUGGGGGAUGACGGCCUUCGGGUUGUAAACUCCUUUCGACCGCGAGGAAGCCACCUGGUUGGAAGGGUGGUGACGGUAGUGGUAGAAGAAGCACCGGCUAACUACGUG
Molecule: ribosomal RNA, 494 nt
Filed under: uncultured bacterium
Lineage: Bacteria
Description: partial 16S ribosomal RNA
Rfam family: Bacterial small subunit ribosomal RNA
Source: RNAcentral